GCGGAUGCGCCGACGAUGGAGAGUCGGGCCCGGCUGUAACCCGGGUGCCUUGUGCUCAGGGAGUUCGAAUCUCCCCAUCCGCAC
RNAcentral lists this transfer RNA (84 nucleotides) under Catellatospora coxensis. RNAcentral's name for it is "tRNA-Tyr". The record is from RNAcentral. Lineage: Bacteria; Bacillati; Actinomycetota; Actinomycetes; Micromonosporales; Micromonosporaceae.